GACGAACCGUGCGAACGUUGUUCGGAUUCACUGGGCUUAAAGGGCGCGUAGGCGGCUUGCCGAGUCAGGGGUGAAAUCUUUCGGCUUAACCGGAAAAGUGCUUCUGAUACUGGCAGGCUGGAGGGAGGUAGGGGCAGACGGAACUUCCGGUGGAGCGGUGAAAUGCGUAGAUAUCAGGAGGAACACCGAUGGCGAAGGCAGGUCUCUGGGCUGACACUGACGCUCAUGCACGAAAGCGUGGGGAGCAAACAGG
RNAcentral lists this ribosomal RNA (253 nucleotides) under uncultured bacterium. RNAcentral describes it as "partial 16S ribosomal RNA". It matches the Rfam family "Bacterial small subunit ribosomal RNA", at positions 524 to 776 of the family's 1533-position model. The record is from RNAcentral.